Molecule: long non-coding RNA, 1118 nt
Filed under: Homo sapiens (human)
Lineage: Eukaryota; Metazoa; Chordata; Mammalia; Primates; Hominidae
Description: long intergenic non-protein coding RNA 1684
Source: RNAcentral
GUAGGUUUAGAUGAAUGGAAAAUGAACUUGCCAGUUCACAGCUAUGUCCUUCCCAAUUUAGGAGGUUAAGGGCAGGAAAAACAUGAGAAACUCUUUUGAGAAGCUGCACAAGCUGACAUGGAGGAUCAAGGAUUUCAAAAGCUUUGAAUAUAAAGAGGUGUCAGACUUACAUCAGAGCCUGAGACUUGACAUGCCUAUUUUUGCACUCGCUCAUUUUUCAAAUUUCAUAGGCAUUGCUCCCUCCAAAUCACCGCUCUUCUAAUUUUAUCCUGGAGUGUGCAUCCCAGAAGACAUAAGCUGACACAAUUGGGAACUGAAGUUGCUUGAAAAAGCUGGUGACUCUAGACAGCUUAUACGUAUUUGGACAAGGCAACGUGAUGAAGAAAUAAUAUAAUUGUAGGAUCACCUCUGUCCAGUAGCUGUUAUCCAACAUCUGCAUACUUAGAUUUCUGGAGAGGACAGUCAAUAUUUUUUCCCUGAGUUUGAAAAAAUCAUUUUCAAAUGUUCACUGGCAAAUCUGGAUAACAGCAGGCUCCUCCCACGCAUGCAGACCCUGACCACAAAGCAGACAAAUUCUCCUGUUUCCCAGGCUGGAGUGCAGUGGUGCGAUCUGGGCUCACUUCAUCCUAUGCCUCCCAGGCUCAAGCGAUCCUCCUGCCUCCACCACUGGAAUAACUGGGACUACAAACUCACACCACCAUGCCUAGUUAAUUUCUGUAUCUUUUUGAGUAGAGAUAGUGUUUUGCCAUGUUAUCCAGGGUGGCCUCCAACCCGGGAGCUCAAGCCAUCCACCCUCUUCGGCCUCCCAAAGUGCUGGGAUUGCAAGCAUGAGCCACUGCACUGGCUAAUUCUUUAUUUUAAUGUUCAUGUUUUCAUUAGGCAAUUUCAGUACACCCAAGUGUAUUUUGAGAAGUGAUUCACUUUUAAUCUCUCCUAGUUUCUUUCAAUUAUGGCCGCAAAAUUCAUUAACGUUGUAUGACUGAUUUAAGGAAAUGCUGUUGCAUUAGUGAGUAUCUACUUUUAUAAACCUAAAAUAGUUUCUUACCUCAUGUCUCCUUACAAUCAUCUGAUUAUAGACAGUAUCAAUUCUAUGAACUUGCAUACUUCCAAAAAGAAAA